Colossoma macropomum (tambaqui) is the source of this 1026-nucleotide long non-coding RNA. RefSeq lists it as uncharacterized. The transcript is spliced from 4 exons. The record is from RefSeq and is a predicted model, not a curated record. NCBI's taxonomy places the organism in Eukaryota, Metazoa, Chordata, Actinopteri, Characiformes, Serrasalmidae.
GUGUUGGUGUAGGACGUCACCCAUAAUGAUGUCAUUCCAGACUUUCAGUAUAAAGAGACAUCAAUGCUUCACUUGGCACCUGUUGUAUUCAACUCUUCACCUGGCACCUGGCUGAACACAAUUUUCGACUCAUCGCUGGUAGCAAGAAGUUUCACAGACCAAAUCAGCCGUACUGGGCAUGAAGCUGCUGCACUCUCUGCUGGAUAGGAUCACAAUGGACUCUCAUUGUCAUCAGCAGCCAGGGGCUUGGGGAAGUCCUUGCAACAACAUGCCAUACCCACCCCCACCACCAGGGGGGCCCUGCUAUCCACCAAUGCACCCAGGGCCUCAUGGAGGGUAUGGACAUGGAGUUUAUGCCCCCUUUAAUCAUUAUCAUGGCCACGGACAUCACCAUGGGCAUCAUCACUGGCAUCAUCAUGGCCAUCACCAUGGACACGGACACCAUCAUGGGCAUCAUCAUGGGUUUUUUCAUCAUCAUGGUCAUCAUGGCAAGCAUUGCUAGGAGAAGCAAAGAAAUGGCAAGCAUUUCAGAGGCAAUUUCUGCAGUGACUCACAGUGGAUGAAGAAUCAGGAGCCUGUCCUCACUUCAGUCUAUAUUUUUCUGUGGAAGUGCUGUAAACAUUUUCUUUUUUUAGUUUUUCUUUUUCUAAAAACACACCAAUGCAGAAUUAGCACCUUUAACAAGAAAAGCUCUUUAUGAUAAAUAAAUAUGACAAGUAGUUCUCCAAUGUUUACUUAAAUUCCUGAGUAAAGCACUUUGAGGUUUUGUGACUAAAAUGAAAAGUGCUAUAUAAAUAAAGUCUUUUAUUUUGUUAUUUAUUUAUAACUAAUAUUUUAAACAUGAGGGAAAACCUGCUUGUAUUAUAUUUUAUUAUUCUAAACAGUUUUUUAAUUAUUCUAUCUAUGUCUUUCUUGAAUAAAAGUAUGAAUCAUGUUUUUUGUCUUUUAAACUUCUAUUCUGUAUUUAUUUUAUGUUUCACAAAAUCUAAUAAAAAUAAAUAUACUGCUUAUUUCAGUUCAAGCCAA